Clupea harengus (Atlantic herring) is the source of this 5448-nucleotide long non-coding RNA. The record is from Ensembl. NCBI's taxonomy places the organism in Eukaryota, Metazoa, Chordata, Actinopteri, Clupeiformes, Clupeidae.
AAGGAGGGGUUGUAAAGGUGCUCAUAUCUUCGGUCCUCUUCUGUUAUGUUUGUUCAUAAUCAACAAGAAUAAGCUUGUGAGACAGUCUGCAGGAUAUUCAUAAAAAAACCGUGUCAUUAGUAUGAACAUUUGAGACAACUUAUCCCUCUUUCGUCUUCCGGGUCACGACCUGGCAGGGAGAGAGGGAGCAUGCGCAAAGACGCAAAGUCCAGUUCCUUAUCCAAUUCACCGUUACAUGCCGCAAUAGUCGAACUAUCAACUGGAUCGGAUCGAGUUAUCCAGGGGUGUUAGUCCGACUAUGUGCGGUCCGACUACGAUCCGACUAAGGUGCUUACAUGAAACGGAUAAUGCGAUUUCAGUCCGACUAAGGCAGUUAUUCGAAUCCAUGUAACCACGGUCACCAGAUCUCAAUCCAAUAGAUAGAGCAUAGUUGGGACGUGGUGGAACAGGGCAUAUGCAUCAUGAAGAUGCCCACAAAAAAAACAGCAACUCCAAUCCAAAUAUGGACUCUCAUCAAGCACAAAGGCAACGGGGGCAAGGUCUCUGAGGAAUGUUUCCAGCACCUUGUUGAAUGCGCCACAAAGAGUUAUGGCAUUUCUAAGGACAAAGGGGGUCCAAUACUAGGAAGGUGUACCUAAUGAAGUGGCCAGUGAGUGUAUACAUAUUAUAUUUAUUUAUAUUUUGAACUCUCUUCUAUUUUGAAUUGCUAUCUGUUAUGUGUGAGAGCACGGUCUGGAUUGCCACAAAAUGAUGUUGCGAUCUGUGCAAUGAGAAUCUUAUCUAUCUAUUUAUCUAUCUAUGUUCAGACAACUAGGCUACUUCCAUGCCCAAUACAUUUAAAGCGAAAUGGCUUUUAACAUCAGUUAUCAGAACUGUUCCGUUUGUAAAACGUUUGUUUGUAAAAGUUUGUAAACUUUUUAAUUGACAUUUUGAUAAGACUAUAUGAACAAUUCUUGAUGUCAGGACAUUUUAAUCAGAAAAUAAUAUUGUUACUAGGUACUAGGAUUAAAAUGCAGCACAAAUAUAAGCAGACGGUGCGAUCCGAUGUUGCCCAGUCGUGCAUGCUAGUUUUGGACAGUUGUCAAGAAACUAUUGUGUGUACAUCUUUGAAAAAUAUGAACACACACCUGAUUGGAUCAGAACCGAUGUGAACAGUGAAUGGACUAUGUCGAUUGUAAUAAUUCAGAAUGGAAGAAAAAACCUUGCAUGAUGUAAACAGCUAUUUUCUCUGAGCCUAUGUAAUGAAUAUACCUAUCCCCAAGGUUGAGCAUUUUCCUAGUGAGUGAAGUUGUCAUUUAUGCCUUUGGUUUCAUGGUUAAGAUAGAGCGCCAUCUUCUCCACAGUUCACAUUUACAUUUAGUCAUUUAGCAGACGCUUUUAUCCAAAGCGACUUACAUAUGUGUGACUUACAAAGUAUACACAUUUUACAUUUACACUGAUGGCACACUGCACAUCAGGAGCAAUUAGGGGUUCAGUGUCUUGCUCAAGGACGCUUCGACAGGGAAUCGAACUAGCAACCUUCUGAUUACUAAACGACUUCUUUACCUCCUGUACCACAUCGUUCAGUGCGUAACGGAUGUGAGAGCAACCUUUUUAAUGUUAAAUGCUUCAAUUGGAAACAUUUAUUUAGACUCUUAGACUCUCGAGAGCACGUAAGUCACCAGGCCAUGAGCAUUAAAGGAUUUUUUUGUCAAAUCUCCCCAUCACCCUCUCUCUCUCUCUCUGUCAUUAUUGACUGAAUGACCUCAUUAUUAUGAGAGGUUGUCUGCCGCCACAUUGGGGUUGUUCAGAAUCUGACCUGAGUACUAACAUCAAGAGUAUGAGUACUAACAUCAAGAGUAUGAUAACUAACAUCAAGAGUAUGAUAACACUGUUGCUUCAUUUUGUAUCUCUGACAAAACUUAUACCAAUCAAUAACAUCUAGUACAAUAGUCCAUUCCAGCUUUUUCCCUAAUGAUGGUGCUCGCCUCCAACAACACAUUGAGGUUUCAGCUUUUUUGUCUAAACCACUUGCAGGUCUGAGUGUAGGAACAAGUAUGAUGUAGAUAUGAGAUGUAGAUAUAUCUACCAUCUGAGCAUCUAGUAUAUCUGAUGGUAAGAGUCAGAUGGUCUUGUCUCAGAAAUGUUGGAAGCUGUGAAAUGCUGCCAUUUCCAUCCAAACCAAAUUAUAUCCUGCCAGUGUCUGCUUAAUACUUACAGCUUCAGGCACACAUUCUUUUCCCCCACAGAAUGUUGAGCGCUGCUCUUUAACAAAACAACAUUUCUUUCUGAAGAGAAGAAGCUUUAAUGCAUACACAUACACUAGACCUGUCCAAAAAGAAAAUGUUUGACUACUAUAGCCAAUGCUGUUAAGGCCAUAUAUGCCUGCCUUGUGUACUGGUUUCCAAUUGGCUGUGUCAGACCAACCCCCCCCCCCCCCCCCCCCUGGAGUUCCGGAGUUCUAAUUAAAUCUGUCAAGUCAAAUAGAUGAGGAUAGAAUACAGAUGAAGCUAUUAGAAGAAUUUUGUCAUGGCUACAGCUUGCACAUUAUUAGUUUACACAACAUAUUUCUAUGUGUUGUAAUACCUUAGCAUUCACCCUUGAUGGAACAAUACAAUAUAAGAUAAUAAAAGAAUAAAAAACAAAAAUGCUGCUUUUAUUCAUAGCAAUUUACAAAACAUAUUUACAAAUGUAGAACAUUACAUUAUUUAGAACAAAAUUAAUGCACAAUGUGCAGAACAAUAUUAAUUAUGGCAGAAUGGAAUAGCACUUAAUACAAAAACAGUUACAACAAUACAACAAUAAUAAUUAUCAUAAAUAAAACACAUUGUUUUUAUUGCUUUCGCUCUCAAAAUACAUGAGAUGUGUUUUAAUGAAUUCUGUGUUGUGCUUCCAUCAUAUUCAUGGCUGUGGCUGUCUGAAUGGGUACACUGAUUCCUGCCAUGCAGUUUGAACCCCUGGAGGAGAAGCGAUUAACGGUGACUAAUCUUGUAUAAUGGUGGCUUAGCCCACUGGUCCAGUUUCAGCAAGCAGUCGCCAUCUGGAUACUAAUACUCUGACCCUCCAUUUGUGUAUGGUCCUCUGCCUGGAAAGAGACAAAAACACACACACUUCUCUCUUACACAAGAUAUAUGUGUUUUGUGCUUUUUUUUAGUGGUGGAGUUAAAGAAAUGGAUCAGCUACAAGUAGCCUUGAUGGUAUUGCGUAGCAUCAGAUAGUCGGACUUGCAGAUUUAUUAACAAAUUAAGAUAAUGUAUAGGGCUAAAUAAUCAAUUGUGCACCCACCCACUACGUCACUCCAAGGAUUACCAGCUGUUCCACUGUAAAAGAUACAAUCAGCUUUACACUGGAAAGACACCAAACUUGCUGAACAUGUGAAAUAGUAGCGGAAUCAAGGAUAUAUCUCUCUAUUUUUAUUAGUGAUUAACAUUCAAUAGUAGCAGAAUCAAGGAUAUCUCUGUCUUUUUUAUUAGUGAUUAACAUUCAAUAGUUCACUAAAGACCCUCUCCAGAGAGGUUGAAGUUUUGAACCUUGUCCAUAUGGUGUUUUUUAGAUUUACAUUUACAUUAAGUCAUUUAGCAGACGCUUUUAUCCAUCUACAUUUACAUUAAGUCAUUUAGCAGACGCUUUUAUCCAUCUACAUCUACAUUUACAUUAAGUCAUUUAGCAGACGCUUUUAUCCAUCUACAUCUACAUUUACAUUAAGUCAUUUAGCAGACGCUUUUGUCCAAAGCGACGUACAAGGGAGAGAACAGUCAAGCUAAGAUAAAAUAAAAACCUGGUGUAACAGUAAAUAGAUGAUACACAACAUAUCAUGAGCCAAAUAAGCAGUCACCGCCAUGGCUGAGUAUUUUCACCUCCACUGGAGCUGCAGUGUACCAACAGCAGUCUCAAAAACACAGCCUGGGUUUCAUACGUCACAAACCUAAGGAACCAAUCCUGCCAACUUGGAAGGUGGGGCUUUACAUAUCAUUGGCCGACCGCCUGCACCCACCUGCAGCAAAGGAGGACUGAUUUGCAGAUUCAUAGCUCUGUUAAUAGACAGGUGAAUCGUGGCAUUCAAGCCAUUUUAAGGCCACGAAGGGAUGUUUGACAUGAAAACAACUUCUAAAUAUGUCAUUUUAAGGGACAGAGAUCGAAUCAGAAUUAUUUUUAUUGGCCAAGAAUAUUUACACAUAGAGGAAAUGAACUUGGUGUGGUUGGUGCAUAGGACAUUAAACAUAUAAACAUUUUAACAAAAUAGCAAAAAUAAGAAUAAUAGAUAAAUGCUUUACAAAAUAGAAUGAUAAAUAAUUUGGGCACAUAGGCCCAGAGUGGCUAAGAUGCAGUGAAUUGGAAUUAGCAUAGUGCAGUAUAUAAAUCAUUUACGCUGUAGUGUAGUGCAUUUGUGUGAAUGUGUAUAAUGUGUGUGUGUGUGUGGGGGGGGGGGGACGACCCAGAGUCAGUGUGAUGCAGGGGGCUUGUUUGUGAGCCCCACUACCGUGGGGAAAAAAACUGUUCAAGUGGCGCGAGGUUUUGGUCUUGAUAGCCCGGAACUUUCUGCCGGAUGAGAGUCUCUGGACUAGGUGGUGACCGGGAUGGGAAGGAUCAGCGAUGAUCUUGCAUGCUCUCUUGCUGGCCCUGGAGUGGUUUAGGAGAGACGGCAGGUCGCAGCCGAUGACCUUCUAGGCUGACCGAAUGAUCUGCUGCAGUCUGCCUUUGUCCUUGGCGUUUAGGGGCACAGAGACACAGAGAUACAGAGACACAGAGAUACAGAGACACAGAGACACAGAGACACAGAGACACCGUGUUUGUUUGUUUGUUUGUAUUGUGUUGUAUAUUUUGUGUAAGCACACUGAGAGUCACUUUACCGAGUCAAAUUCCUUGUUUGUGCAAACUUACUCGGCCAAUAAAACCUGAUUCUGAUUCUGAUUCUGAUUCUGAUUCUGAUUAUGAGGAUACAGAGUUACAGUAGGGGGGCUGCGGGUUGAGGGCAACAAAACAGAACGAGAACCCCAAAACUACUGGUCAAAUGAAGUAUGACACUGCUCUUACCACACAUUAACCUGUUGUUGUUUAGUUUAUAGCCUAAUUUGCCAUUAAAUAAUAUGUUCAGGACCUACUGUUUAUUCUACAUGUUAGGGUAAACAAGAGCUCUUUUUUUUAAAAAAAAAAGUAAAAAAAAUUGUUUAACUGAUUGAUGACACUGGAAAUGACUUGAAUUAAAACAGCUCUUCAACUCUUCAGAGAGCACCUCCCUUCCUAACUGGCACCUUGACUAGACUUCUUUUUCCUUUCUAGGUCGUUUUUCUAAUUCUUAUGUAAAGUAGUAUUUAUUGUUACACCAUGUUCUUUAUUGCUCUUAGCUUGACUGUUCUCUCCCUUGUACGUCGCUUUGGACAAAAGCGUCUGCUAAAUGACUUAAUGUAAAUGUAAAUGUAAGUAAUAGGCAAUAUGAGCAUCUCAAUCUUGUUGUGUUUGGAGGGAGGG